RNAcentral lists this ribosomal RNA (153 nucleotides) under Lampetra fluviatilis (European river lamprey). Lineage: Eukaryota; Metazoa; Chordata; Hyperoartia; Petromyzontiformes; Petromyzontidae. The record is from RNAcentral.
GAUCAAUAGGCCGGGGUGCCCCGCUCCCCGCCGGGUCCGUAGACCGGUGCGGACUGUUCCCAGUGCGUCACCGACCACGGCUCGGCGCUCGGCUGCGGGUGUGCCACCGACUGCGGGCGCCCGGGGUCCGCAGUGAGGGUCGGCCACCCACCC